AUGUUCGACGAAAUGUCACGAAGGUAUAAAUUUUCCGGUUGUGCUCUCAUUUGUUGUUUCAAAUUGUAUGUGUUCUUGAUUGUUUGUGCGUCCAAUUGUAGUCUUGAUGAUGAAGCUUUCAUGCACGCGACAAAUGUGGCAAAUGAUGAUUACAUGUAUGCGUCACAAGAAUAUGAAACCCAAUAUGAUGAUGACAAUCUUGAUGUGGACGAUGAGGGCUUUGUUGUCAAGGGAAGAAAUGGAAAUUAUACCACCGCGGAGGAUGUGUUGAUAUGCACCGCUUGGAAGAAAAUCUCUCAAGAUGCGAGCGUUGGAAGCGACCAAACGGUGAACACCUAUUGGCAACGCAUCAAGGAGUACUUUGAUUGA
Molecule: ribosomal RNA, 369 nt
Filed under: Triticum aestivum (bread wheat)
Lineage: Eukaryota; Viridiplantae; Streptophyta; Magnoliopsida; Poales; Poaceae
Description: partial small subunit ribosomal RNA
Source: RNAcentral